This 442-nucleotide ribosomal RNA is filed under the name uncultured Anaerolineaceae bacterium. Its description in RNAcentral is "bacterial SSU rRNA". It matches the Rfam family "Bacterial small subunit ribosomal RNA", at positions 931 to 1382 of the family's 1533-position model. Lineage: Bacteria; Bacillati; Chloroflexota; Anaerolineae; Anaerolineales; Anaerolineaceae. The record is from RNAcentral.
AGCGGAGCGUGUGGUUUAAUUCGUUUGCUUACACGAAGAACCUUACCGUGGGUUUGACAUAGCAGUGGUAGGGAAGCGAAAGCGGACCGACCUUCGGGGAGCUGUUACAGGUGUUGCAUGGCUGUCGUCAGCUCGUGUCGUGAGAUGUUCGGUUAAGUCCGCUAACGAGCGCAACCCGCGUUGUGUGUUACAAGUGUCACACAAUACCGGCCGGUAUUAAGUCGGAGGAAGGUGCGGAUGACGUCAAGUCAGCAUGACCUUUAUAUCCAGGGCUACACACACGCUACAAUGGUCGGCACAAUAGGUUGCGAAGCCGCGAGGUGGAGCCAAUCCAGCAAAACUUCCCUCAGUUCAGAUUGCAGGCUGCAACUCGCCUGCAUGAAGUUGGAGUUGCUAGUAAACGCAGGUCAGCCAUACUGCGUUGAAUACGUUCCCGGGGCUU